CACUUUUGCAGCCACCCCCUCUCUUCCGCAUUCAGGCGGUAACCUUUCCAUUAUUAUGAUAAUUGUAAACAACUGUCUUGAAACAAAUGGUAGAAGCAACAUGCCCAGACUGUGUCUUAAUUUGUUUCUUUUACCUUCAUGGACAUUUGAAUUCUGUUUGGUCAGGAAGGCACUUGAUUUGAUUUUAUCAGACUCAGAGGGAACAACAAAAGGAUGUAGUAAUGUCUGCCCCUUGGCUGCCCGAGUAAGGAUUCUGUCCCUCAAGUUCCUAUCCCUGAGCUCCAGCUGCACAGACUGAAUUUUCUUUUCCAUGAUGAGAAAUCCUCACCAAUGACUAUUUGUUUUGUCUACAUGAUAUGGCAGAGUUGUAAAAAUGUAUCAAGUAGACUACAGACACACUAGCUUUUUUGUGGGGCAUUUAGAAAUUUUAAAAUAAACACCUUUACUUUUUGUACCAUUGGAAUACUGACUCCAGGAGUCCUGUAUUUGAUAACAUGCUCAUACAAUGCACAUGUCUGGAAUGAAAUGCCUGAUCUUGCUAGAUACCUUCAAGAUAUUAUCAAAAUACAGGUGACUUCCCUCAGGAUUAAAAAAGUUCACAUAUUUUAGAAAUUCUUAUAAAGCUUGGUAAAGUUCAUGUUACCACUAUGUGCUUCUGUGCUGCUCUGUGGGUUGGGAUACUGAGGAGGCAAAAAGAGCCCCUUGGGUCUCUUCUAAGAGGAGCGAGUGUGGGAAGCAUAGAUUUAGGACCAACCAAGUAUUUCCACAUUUACUCUUGAGCCGGCACACACCUGGUACCGAGUACCUUGAUAGGUGACAGAGCCAGAAUUCUCAGUUGUGAAGGCUGUUAAUUGAAGUGUAGUCAGGAGCACAGUGGCAUAGCACUGGGAGGCAACAAGGAUGCUGAAUCAUACUCACCAUUAAUGAAAAACUGAGCAUUGCAAACUCAAUGUAGCAAGGCCAUUUGGAAGUAUUUCCCCCUUCUCAUGCCUAUGUUUCAACGGUAGGCUUGUUGAUAUUGGGGCCAGGAACUGGCCAGAAGAGCACGUGAGGUGGGCUGCCAGCAAAACUCAUUUAAUAUAAUAAUUGCAAAUAAUGUCUUGCAAAUAUAGUGUUUCUUUUACUCAAAACCUUCUUGCUAGCAGUUC
Molecule: long non-coding RNA, 1148 nt
Organism: Gavialis gangeticus (Gharial)
Lineage: Eukaryota; Metazoa; Chordata; Crocodylia; Gavialidae
Exons: 4
Source: RefSeq, a predicted model, not a curated record